GACGAACGCUGGCGGCAUGCCUAAUACAUGCAAGUCGAGCGAACAGAUGAAGUGCUUGCACUUCUGACGUUAGCGGCGAACGGGUGAGUAACACGUAAGGAAUCUACCUAUAAGCGGGGGAUAACAUUCGGAAACGGGUGCUAAUACCGCAUAAUAUCUUCUUCCGCAUGGAAGAAGAUUGAAAGACGGCUCUGCUGUCACUUAUAGAUGACCUUGCGGUGCAUUAGUUAGUUGGUGGGGUAACGGCCUACCAAGACGAUGAUGCAUAGCCGACCGGGGAGGGUGAUCGGCCACAUUGGGACUGAGACACGGCCCAAACUCCUACGGGAGGCAGCAGUAGGGAAUCUUCCGAAAUGGGCGAAAGCCUGACGGAGCAAUGCCGCGUGAGUGAAGAAGGCCUUCGGGUCGUAAAACUCUGUUAUAAGAGAAGAACAAAUUGUAGAGUAACUGCUACAGUCUUGACGGUAUCUUAUCAGAAAGCCACGGCUAACUACGUGCCAGCAGCCGCCGUAA
RNAcentral lists this ribosomal RNA (513 nucleotides) under uncultured bacterium. RNAcentral's name for it is "partial 16S ribosomal RNA". It matches the Rfam family "Bacterial small subunit ribosomal RNA", at positions 28 to 523 of the family's 1533-position model. The record is from RNAcentral.